GGCUAGACGACGCUGGCGGCGUGCCUAAUACAUGCAAGUCGAACGAACUCUGGUAUUGAUUGGUGCUUGCAUCAUGAUUUACAUUUGAGUGAGUGGCGAACUGGUGAGUAACACGUGGGAAACCUGCCCAGAAGCGGGGGAUAACACCUGGAAACAGAUGCUAAUACCGCAUAACAACUUGGACCGCAUGGUCCGAGCUUGAAAGAUGGCUUCGGCUAUCACUUUUGGAUGGUCCCGCGGCGUAUUAGCUAGAUGGUGGGGUAACGGCUCACCAUGGCAAUGAUACGUAGCCGACCUGAGAGGGUAAUCGGCCACAUUGGGACUGAGACACGGCCCAAACUCCUACGGGAGGCAGCAGUAGGGAAUCUUCCACAAUGGACGAAAGUCUGAUGGAGCAACGCCGCGUGAGUGAAGAAGGGUUUCGGCUCGUAAAACUCUGUUGUUAAAGAAGAACAUAUCUGAGAGUAACUGUUCAGGUAUUGACGGUAUUUAAACCAGAAAAGCCACGGCUAACUACGUGCCAGCAGCCGCGGUAAUACGUAGGUGGCAAGCGUUGUCCGGGAUUUAUUGGGCGUAAAGCGAGCGCAGGCGGUUUUUUAAGUCUGAUGUGAAAGCCUUCGGCUCAACCGAAGAAGUGCAUCGGAAACUGGGAAACUUGAGUGCAGAAGAGGACAGUGGAACUCCAUGUGUAGCGGUGAAAUGCGUAGAUAUAUGGAAGAACACCAGUGGCGAAGGCGGCUGUCUGGUCUGUAACUGACGCUGAGGCUCGAAAGUAUGGGUAGCAAACAGGAUUAGAUACCCUGGUAGUCCAUACCGUAAACGAUGAAUGCUAAGUGUUGGAGGGUUUCCGCCCUUCAGUGCUGCAGCUAACGCAUUAAGCAUUCCGCCUGGGGAGUACGGCCGCAAGGCUGAAACUCAAAGGAAUUUGACGGGGGCCCGCACAAGCGGUGGAGCAUGUGGUUUAAUUCGAAGCUACGCGAAGAACCUUUACCAGGUCUUGACAUACUAUGCAAAUCUAAGAGAUUAGACGUUCCCUUCGGGGACAUGGAUACAGGUGGUGCAUGGUUGUCGUCAGCUCGUGUCGUGAGAUGUUGGGUUAAGUCCCGCAACGAGCGCAACCCUUAUUAUCAGUUGCCAGCAUUAAGUUGGGCACUCUGGUGAGACUGCCGGUGACAAACCGGAGGAAGGUGGGGAUGACGUCAAAUCAUCAUGCCCCUUAUGACCUGGGCUACACACGUGCUACAAUGGAUGGUACAACGAGUUGCGAACUCGCGAGAGUAAGCUAAUCUCUUAAAGCCAUUCUCAGUUCGGAUUGUAGGCUGCAACUCGCCUACAUGAAGUCGGAAUCGCUAGUAAUCGCGGAUCAGCAUGCCGCGGUGAAUACGUUCCCGGGCCUUGUACACACCGCCCGUCACACCAUGAGAGUUUGUAACACCCAAAGUCGGUGGGGUAACCUUUUAGGAACCAGCCGCCUAAGGUGGGACAGAUGAUAGGUGAAGUCGAA
This 1504-nucleotide ribosomal RNA is filed under the name Lactiplantibacillus plantarum. Its description in RNAcentral is "bacterial SSU rRNA". It matches the Rfam family "Bacterial small subunit ribosomal RNA". Lineage: Bacteria; Bacillati; Bacillota; Bacilli; Lactobacillales; Lactobacillaceae. The record is from RNAcentral.